Molecule: small nucleolar RNA, 107 nt
Organism: Dioscorea cayenensis subsp. rotundata (Guinea yam)
Lineage: Eukaryota; Viridiplantae; Streptophyta; Magnoliopsida; Dioscoreales; Dioscoreaceae
Source: RefSeq, a predicted model, not a curated record
AUUCCGUGUUGUGGGCAUUUCCAUAGCAUCUCUUUGUAUCUAUCCCAUGUCUCAUACAAUGAUUUGGACUCCAACUGAUGGAAUGAAGAGAUAUCGCUUCUGAGCUU